GUUUUCAAACCUGGUUUCUCACUGGUGCAGCUCUGUCAAUCACCCUGCGUAAGCUCUGCCCUGCGUCCUGUUUUCUGAGUGUUAGAGCUACCGCAGGACCACUGGAUUCCUGGUGCUGCUGUGAUUUGCAACCACACGGAGCCUGUUGACAUCCUCCACAUCCUCUCCUUUCUCAGCUUAAGAGGGUCUCUCUCUGGGUCUUCUGAACUCAGUGUGACGAAUGAGGACUAUAAAAUGGAAGGAACGGGGGCAAUAAUCUCAUAGAAAGUUAUCAUCGGGAAUCCAAGUGCUGUUAUGGAUGGUACAAGUGGCCAAACUUUACAGUAAAAUAUUCCUGUUCUUGAAAAUAAAUGUUAAGGAG
This 361-nucleotide long non-coding RNA is filed under the name Homo sapiens (human). RNAcentral describes it as "HSALNT0157423". The record is from RNAcentral. Lineage: Eukaryota; Metazoa; Chordata; Mammalia; Primates; Hominidae.